Molecule: ribosomal RNA, 479 nt
Filed under: uncultured bacterium
Lineage: Bacteria
Description: bacterial SSU rRNA
Rfam family: Bacterial small subunit ribosomal RNA
Source: RNAcentral
AGAGUUUGAUCCUGGCUCAGGACGAACGCUGGCGGCGUGCUUAACACAUGCAAGUCGAGCGGAAAGGCCCCUUCGGGGGUACUCGAGCGGCGAACGGGUGAGUAACACGUGAGCAACCUGCCCCUGACACUGGGAUAAGCCUGGGAAACCGGGUACUAAUACCGGAUAUGACCUGCCUCCGCAUGGGGGUGGGUGGAAAGGUUGGCCCGUUUGGGUCUUCCGGUCAGGGAUGGGCUCGCGGCCUAUCAGCUUGUUGGUGGGGUUACGGCCUACUCAAGGCUGACGACGGGUAGCCGGCCUGAGAGGGCGUACCGGCCACACUGGGACUGAGACACGGCCCAGACUCCUACGGGAGGCAGCAGUGGGGUAAUAUUGCGCAAUGGGCGAAAGCCUGACGCAGCGACGCCGCGUGGGGGAUGAAGGCCUUCCGGGUUGUAAACCUCUUUCGGCAGGGAACGUAAGUUGACGUGUACCUGCGG